This 399-nucleotide ribosomal RNA is filed under the name uncultured bacterium. Its description in RNAcentral is "bacterial SSU rRNA". It matches the Rfam family "Bacterial small subunit ribosomal RNA", at positions 976 to 1380 of the family's 1533-position model. The record is from RNAcentral.
CACUCUUGACUUCUUCUGCAAAACUAUAGAGAUAUAGCCGAGGUUAACAGAAUGACAGAUGGUGCAUGGUUGUCGUCAGCUCGUGUCGUGAGAUGUUCGGUUAAGUCCUGCAACGAGCGCAACCCUUAUCCUUAGUUACUACCAUUUAGUUGAGAACUCUAGGGAGACUGCCCAAGUAAUUGGGAGGAAGGUGGGGAUGACGUCAAAUCAUCAUGCCUCUUACGAGUGGGGCAACACACGUGCUACAAUGGCCGGUACAAAGAGAUGCAAAAUGGUGACAUGGAGCCAACCUCAAAAAACCGGUCUCAGUUCGGAUUGUAGUCUGCAACUCGACUACAUGAAGUCGGAAUCGCUAGUAAUCGUAGAUCAGCUACGCUACGGUGAAUACGUUCUCGGGUC